UUUAGGUUGCUUUACAGGGAUCAAGUGGUAGAUCUUUAGGUUCUAUGACUUUAGGUAGCCUGGCAUUAGGUCAUGCUAGUAAAGGUUUCGGUUUUAGUUCUUUAGGCCAGAGUGAUCAUCCUAGUGUAUAUAUGCCCUCUCAGAUUGAGUUCAUCUAUAGGAGAUGCUUUGUAAGUGAUGAGGUUGUCUAUUUGGCCAAGUUUGACCAUGACAUGUGUAUGUACCUACUUAAAAAGUUUCUCAACAUUAGUUUUUCCCUACUCUGAUAUCUACAACAUGAGUUAGUUCCCAGAAUGGUGG
This 300-nucleotide long non-coding RNA is filed under the name Capsicum annuum. Its description in RNAcentral is "long non-coding RNA (CANN_LNC017528)". Lineage: Eukaryota; Viridiplantae; Streptophyta; Magnoliopsida; Solanales; Solanaceae. The record is from RNAcentral.